RNAcentral lists this unclassified non-coding RNA (329 nucleotides) under soil metagenome. Its description in RNAcentral is "partial contains 5.8S ribosomal RNA, internal transcribed spacer 2, and large subunit ribosomal RNA". The stretch from base 1 to 120 matches the Rfam family "5.8S ribosomal RNA", at positions 35 to 154 of the family's 154-position model. The record is from RNAcentral.
GAUGAAGAACGUAGCGAAAUGCGAUAAGUAAUGUGAAUUGCAGAAUUCAGUGAAUCAUCGAAUCUUUGAACGCACAUUGCGCCCCCUGGUAUUCCGGGGGGCAUGCCUGUCCGAGCGUCAUUACAACCCUCAAGCUCAGCUUGGUAUUGGGUCCCGCCGACCCGGCGGGCCCUAAAGUCAGUGGCGGUGCCGUCCGGCUCCGAGCGUAGUAAUUCUUCUCGCUCUGGAGGUCCGGUCGUGUGCUCGCCAGCAACCCCCAAUUUUUUUCAGGUUGACCUCGGAUCAGGUAGGGAUACCCGCUGAACUUAAGCAUAUCAAUAAGCGGAGGA